CUUGUGACAAGUUAUCUUUCAUCAAAAAAGAACUAUUUUUUAUAGAAACUAGGAUGCUCGAAAGGAAACUAGAAUCAUACAUCAUCAAGAUCUGGGCAAAAGUAUCAUAUUGAUGGAGUCAGAUAUCUUUUAUCUAAUUUAUAUUUCUGACUAAUAUUGUAAUCAUAUAUUAUGCACGUUACUUUUAUGAACGUGGUACAAAGUUAAAGUAUCAUAAUAUAUAGUUAAAUAAAUAUAAUACAUAGUUAUUUUAUUCUGGUACACAGUUAAUGCAAUAUGAUAUAUAGUUAUUUUUAUUUUCAAAGAUUAUAGAUCAUGCCUUCUCAAAGUCGGAGCCAUCAC
Molecule: long non-coding RNA, 342 nt
Filed under: Elaeis guineensis (African oil palm)
Lineage: Eukaryota; Viridiplantae; Streptophyta; Magnoliopsida; Arecales; Arecaceae
Description: long non-coding RNA (EGUI_LNC040191)
Source: RNAcentral